ACCGCCCGUCACAUCACGAAAGCCUUUUGUACUAGAAGCCGGCAAUUCAACCGCAAGGAGAUAGCCGUCCAAGGUAUGAAUGGUGAUUGGGGUG
Molecule: ribosomal RNA, 94 nt
Filed under: uncultured bacterium
Lineage: Bacteria
Description: partial 16S ribosomal RNA
Rfam family: Bacterial small subunit ribosomal RNA
Source: RNAcentral